UGAAUUAUUUCAAAAAACAAAAAGAAUAUAUACGUUUUCCCCCUUUUGAUGAUAAACCCUAAAAUCACACAAUUCCUUCACAAAUUCCCCAAAUCAAACAUGAAUCUUCAUCUUCUAGCAACAGUCAUUUCAAUCCUCUUCAUCACAACCCAAUCCUCAUCAAUUUACGACGCCCUAAGCUCCAACGGCCUCCCAAUCGGUCUCCUCCCAAAAGGAAUCACGAACUACACAAUCGAUCCAUCAACUAACCGAUUCGAAGUUCAUUUGAACAGUUCCUGCAAUACGAAGUUCGAAACGAGUGUUAGAUUCGAUUGGAACUUUGCUGGUGUUUUGAGUUACGGUAAAAUAUCGAAUUUAUCUGGAAUUGCUGCUCAGGAUCUGUUCCUUUGGUUCCCUGUGAAAGGAAUUCAUGUGGAUGUUCCUACUUCUGGAUUAAUAUAUUUUGAUGUUGGUGUUGUGUUUAAGCAAUUUGCGCUUUCUUCGUUUGAGAUACCCAAGGAUUGUACCGCCUUUGAUGUUGAUGGAUUGGACACGGAGUUGAUUGUGCUUAAGGAUCCUUCUCGCACCAUUCAGCAACCCACUGAGGGAGAUGACCAGAGAGCUGUUGCAUAAGUUCUAUAACUAUCUGGAAACUAUUUUACGAGGCUGCAAGACAUGAUCAUGUAGAAGAAGUGUUUGUUCUUAAAUGAUUUGUGUGCUGGUGUACAUGUACAUGUAAUCAUGUAUUUUGUUUGAAGAUCGGUGUCAUGUAAUAUAGUACUUAUACAGAUAAUUAAUACUAAAGGUAAUGUUGUGGUGUACAUUCUGUCAAUUGUAUUUUUUAUGUAAAACAAUUAAUUUCUUUUUGGUUU
This is a long non-coding RNA of Helianthus annuus (common sunflower), 851 nucleotides long. RefSeq lists it as uncharacterized. The record is from RefSeq and is a predicted model, not a curated record. The transcript has 3 exons. NCBI's taxonomy places the organism in Eukaryota, Viridiplantae, Streptophyta, Magnoliopsida, Asterales, Asteraceae.